Long non-coding RNA from Gallus gallus (chicken), 21577 nucleotides. RefSeq lists it as uncharacterized. The transcript has 6 exons. The record is from RefSeq and is a predicted model, not a curated record. NCBI's taxonomy places the organism in Eukaryota, Metazoa, Chordata, Aves, Galliformes, Phasianidae.
GCGUUGCUAAGGGAGCGGGCCCAAAAUGGCGGCCUGCAGCGCGGCGGCGUGCAGCAGGGCUGUGAAAGUUCCUGGACAAAAUUAGAUUCGAUAAGGAAAACAGACCUAAAACCAGCCUCGAGAUAAUCCCAGAAUCAUUAAGAUUGGAAAAGAUGGCUAAGAUCCGCAGGUGACCCUCUGCUGGUGCAACCGGAGUCUGUUACCUCGAGUCUGCUUGGUACAGCCUUCUGGGUUUGCUGCUGGAGGCAGCCCCGUGUCCUCCAAGCAGAGUGCUUUGUUUGCUGACUGCUGCUGAGAAGCAGGAGGAGGAACUCACGUGUUCGUGGCUUGCACAGAGGUUGGGAGUACAAACCAGACUGUGAAGUCAUGGGAAGGAUGCUUACUUUUCAGCCACUCAAAAUUGAGGUGAAUGCCAGCUUCUCAACCUAUGCUUCUCAUUCCUCUGAACCGAUUUGUCCUUACUGCCCCCAAGAAUGAAGGAGUCAUUCGAUAGCUCUUGUAUUGUAUUUUUAAUUGACUGUCUUCAAAAGGGUGCAUUGCAUCUGGGGUGGGAGGUCUUAACACAGUAGUAAGCUAUGCAGGGAGUCGUACUAAACAAUCUCUGUCCUACAGCAAGAAUGAACAAGAUACUUUAUUGCGUGAGAGAUUCCAGAGGCUUUAUCUUCCCCUCUGCACAGAGACUCCAUUAAGAUUAAUCAGCCACACAUACACAUUCCAUAGGAGAACACAAAUCAUAUGGAAUCUUCUUAUCGAGUUAAUGAAUGACUCACCUCCCUCCCAUCCCUUCCUCCCGUGCAAGGAGCCCAAGGCAAAUGUCCCACAAACCCACACGUGUUGAGUUCUGCACUCAGCACUCCAGGUCGGAGACAAAGUUCCUCUCAGCUCCAGAAGGAAUUCUUUGAAGGAGUCCAUAAGCAGAGCUACGGAGGGUUUGUGGGAUGGUCUGUCAGUGGAUGGAGGCUCUCCAAGCACAGCUUUAAGAAAAUGAAUCUUUCAUACGUAGAACAAACAAGCAGCAUAUUUAAAAUAGAGCAAGCAUUAGUGAGGGGAGGUGUUCCCACUGAUGCUGGGUUCAGUUACCAGAGCUGUAGCUGUGUUUCUUUAUAGCCAGAAGUCCUGAAUUUUGGAACUGGGCUUCUCAUGUGGCUUUGUCACUAGCCACUAGGUUGUCUUAUUUACUUUUCAACUCCCCUUUCUGAAGAGUAGCGUAGUGACAGCCAAUUCAAGCGUGGGGCCCGAGGGGAAGAACCAGAUUUACUCAUCUCCUGGAAAAAAUAAUAGUUCUUUAAAUGAGCUAAAGCUUAGCACAGGGUAGGAGCCCAGGACAAGACAUUUUAAAGCAUUUUAAGAGUGCAAAGGAUAGAGCCAGGAAUGAUAGUGCUGACAUCUGAUGUCCCCUAACUAGCCGUAGAACACACUAAUUAAUCUCAGUAUAGCUGCUCUGAUGGUAGGACUCAUACCUGACUUGCUGUAACUGAUUGCAGGUAUGCCACGGUCAUUCGGUGUCACAAUCCAGGCAGCACUAUGCUGCUGUGUUGUUUCAAGGUAUGCAUUUGAAUGAGAAACCAAAAUAACUGCAUUGUAUGGCCAUGCAGUCUGGCCUUUCUUGACUUGCUGCUGCUCUUUCAGCUCAGCUGAGGGCUGAGAAUAGCAUAACCUGCUGGGGAAGCAAAGUUCCAAGUUCUCGGAGUUUUCUUCUCUCUCAGUCUGCUAUUAAAUCCCAAAGCAAAUGACCUGGGGGAGCUGAAUCCUUCAGAGGGAUCUCUGUGUCACUGCAGCAGGUGAAUUUAACACUAUUACCAGUGUUGAUAAAACUCAAGAAUUCAGCAGGCAGACGUGAACAAACUUUUCUCCAAGCGCACCCAGUAACAGUGCCCUGGGCUGGCACUGCUUUCUUGUUCCAUUCCUCAGAGUUCACCAACUGAGUCUGCCAUAAAUCACCCCUCCUCUCCCCCCCGGGAAAACUAGAUUAUUCAUUUACUGCAUAGAAAGCAAAAUGUCCUUUACAACGUGUCUCCAUGUCCUGGCCAAAGACCAAAUGAGUAUAACCUCUUUUCUUCCUCUUUUCAGAAGUCCUAGAGCCUUUGACCAGGUUUCCUCUGUGUACUGUAUGUUCUCUGUGCUUGUUAUUCUUUCUCCUACUGCUUUCACCUUCCAUUCCUGAGAUGCUAUACUCUGGGGAUGCCUACUUGGAAACAUGUAUUGAAUACGCUGGAUGAGUUGAAGGAAAGCUGCUUUGUCAGCGUUGUUGACAGCUUUCUCUGAGUGCAGUGCCCAGAACAAAAGGCCAGUGCAGUAAACAGCUGCAUCCUGAACAUGCUCACAGGCUGCAGAAAUACAACUGUAUCAUCAUUUAAUAAAUAGAGUACAGGAAAUAAGCAAGCAAUAGUGAGGAUUCAUCAGGUUGCCUUUUGUUUGUUGUUUGUCAGGCAUGUUUAUACAAGAGAGGGUACGGAUUUGGCAUCUAGCAGUGGGAUUGUCAGCUCCGUCCAGCUGAAGCCCAUCUUCAAGCUUUGCAAGAACUUGACUGAGGAUAGCCCUCAGGCUUGGCAACCAGGACAGCUCAACAGACAGGGCAGGCUGGGAGAUGGUCUGUGAGUUUUCUGAUUUCCUCCGUAGGUCCCUCUGUUUUAUGCAAACCUUUGUUCCAAGCAAGAGCUCCUGCUCUGUGGGGGAUCGGUUCACGCUCAGGUCUGUCAUGCCCUCUGUCUGUGCUUGUAUCCUGGAGCUUCUGUAGCUGGGAAGAACACAAAAAGCAUGAUGUCAGCUUUGUUUACCCAUUCUCCAAAUCAGACUGAGUCAGAGUUCUUGUGACUCUGAGGUCAUCAUCACCAUCACUUUGACCUCUUGGUGGGAAGAAGGCUGUGCUUCUGCUCUGUCACACAGCUGCUUCUUAUCUCUUAUUUCAGCCUAUUGAGCAUCUCUUUGUGUUUCAUUACAGUAAGUGGCUUCUGGGUAGUGCAGGGAGGAAAGCAGAUGUCACUGCCUUUGUAGUUGUGGUCAGUAGUUAACUUGUCUCUCCCUUGUUGAAAGCCAGCUUUCAUCAGCGUCCUCCCCUCCUUCGUCAUCCCAAAUCACCACCAAAUCACAUCCCAAAUCACUCCCCCGCGCGCUCUUCCUCCUGCCUGUAACCAUAAUGCCACUAGGUGGAGUAUUGCUCUUAAAAAAGAGAAGAGCCGAGCUUAGGGCGAUACCCUUGGGCGGUAGCUGUGAUGAAGCCCUGCUCACAAGCUGGCCGAUGAGCACAGGAUCUGAGCACAGCUCUGUGUCGGAUCUCCAGCACCCAUGUCCCCUUCAGGCCCAGGGACCUCCCUUGCACCCCGACUCACCCGGCUGUAUGCGCACCGUGCGGCACAGCCCCUUGCUCGGCUGAUCCUUGUACAUGGACUUCACACACACUUUGUUUGUGGUGCCCGGGGCCAUGUCUGUGAGGAGCACGCUGUGGAUUUGUGGUGACACACUGAUGAGCGAUGAAGGGCCGGUUUGCCGCCGGCACCUGACUCUGUAACCAAGGACCUUCCCGUCGGCAGCAUCCCAUGAAGCCUUCAGGGUGUUGGAGCCCAUGUCUUCAAAGCGAAGAUGCCUCACUUUGGAGCCCUCUAGAGAAAGGAGAAGAUCCUUGUUACUGUGGGCCUCUGAAUGGAGCAGUUGUUGUGGCUUUGGUAGCAGCUCAGCCAUAUACAGCCCAUAAGAGUGGUCAUACUGUAUACGGCCGAUUUGCUUUCAGCCAUAGAAUCACAGAACCAUUAAGGUUGGAAAAGACCUCUAAGAUCCCCAAGCCCAACCCACCUCACCAUGCCCACUGGCCGUGUCCCUCAGUGCCACAUCUCUAUGGUUCUUGAGCACCCACUGGGAUGGUGACUCCCUGCUGUUUCCCAACAUCCAAUCUGCCCCUCCCAUGGUGCAAUUUGAGGCCGUUAGCUUGAGCCCUAGGCUUUAUGUAUCUGCAGCACCCUAAUGGCAUAUCACAUUCUGCUCACCAGAAGCUGCAGCGUUCCCCUCCUCUCAUCCAACUCCAGGAACCAGACUGAGUUUUCAGGUCUCACCCAAAGGCAGAUCUGUGCCCACACCAUUCCCUAUCAGCACAGUCCUGCACACUCACCUUCCUGAGUGCAUGCUUUGGCUGACAACGAUUUCUCCUUUCCUGAACUGUAGAUCGCAGUCACCGUCACCAGAUAGGUGGUGUUGGGUGCCAGGUUCUCCACAACAGUGCUGUUGUGGGUGCCAUCCACCUCCAGCAGCUGCGCCGAGUCCCCACGGAGUGGCCCAUAGAGGACCUGGUAGCUGGUCACGCUGUCUGGUGUAGGAGCCCAGCUGACCUGGAAGCUGUGAGGCCUGGAGUCUGAGAUGAGAACCUGAGCUGGACUGAUUUCCUCUGAAAGAAGCAUGAAAAGAUGGGAAUGAGCAUGCAAUUCAUGGUAUCAGGAUGCUCUCCGAGGAGCACAGUGGACCUGACUUCCAGGAGGUGGAAGAUUUAAAAAGGUUGGCUGUGCUCAGAUGCUGCCCCAAUCCCUCCCCUCACAUAGGGAUGCCCCAGCAGUGCACACCCCUGCCUGGAGAAGCAUGUGCCCUUCUCUAGCUGCUCCUACAGCUCCUGCCUUUUCCCAGGGCUCUGCUUUCUGUCAUAUCCAAGGGUUUUAAGGUUGGAAGGGCAUCUUAUGACCCUCUACUAGGCAGUGCAGAACUUCUUUCUAGGAGAAGAUCUGCAGUGGAGUGCCAGCAAAAAGAUGCCUUCUCCUUGCUCUGUUCUGGCUUGACCGCAACCGUCUGCCUCCCCCCAUCAGACCAGGAGCAGAUCACAGGCUGUCCUGAUUUCCUCUCUAUCUGGGAUGCUCAGCAUGGCAGAAUUUUCCCCACAUCAGGGCUGUGCACACUUUACCUGUCAGGGUGAUAACCCUUAUUGUCUGUGGAGGGAAGUAGUGGAUGUUGGAUUCAGGAAUGAGUGCCACCUCAUAAGUAGUUUCUGGAGCAAGAUUGCUCAGUGUGAGGCUGGUGUGAGCCCCAGACACCUGUGUUGUCCUCUUGGCUGCCAGGUCAUCUGUUGAGGCAUACUGCAGGGUGUAGUAGCCGGUUUCUUGGGAGAGGAGUUGGGGCCACGUCAGACGGAAGCUACUUGAUGUGAUAUCCACCACACGGAGCCGAUUUGCUUGGAUGACAUCUGAAAGAGAGGCAGGAGCAAGAAAUCACUGAUGGCAUUUGUACACAGGACAUGGAACACCAGAAAUGCAGGCCCUUUGGAUGGGAGAUGUGACCUUUGGGGACACUGGAUGACAGCUGAAGUCACUGAGAUGCAGCUGAGCUCCUUGAUAGCAAUUCGGGAGCACAAACCCAAAUUCUCAAAGCCAUGCACAAAGCUCCAAAAAUGAAAGGCACCUGGAAACUUUGCUUCUAACUGGUGGCAUUUAGAGACAGAAAGAAGCUCUGCCACACAAGUCAGUCUUGUUUUUUUUUGUCUGAUUUGUUGCUUGGCUGUGGGGUGGGCAGGAGCACUGCUCCCUCCCAGCACCAUGGGCAUGGGACUCUGCAGCCUCCUGUGAGCCCCACUGCUGCCAGAGGAGCCAGGAACAGAGGAAAGGUCCUAGUGCCAAAAACUCUGCCAAAAGCUCAGGAAACAGAAAUGAACGAGCUUGGCUGCAGGGCAUGGGGAUGCUGCAAAUAAAUCAGGAGGAUUGAAGUGAUGGGAUGCAGCACCCGAGCGAUGAGCUACGGGCAGCCCGAGCACCUCUGCUGCCACAUGACAACUGCCCUGACCACUGAAGAAGGAGAUAAAUCCCAGAAAGUAAAUGCCCAUGAUUUCCUUCUCAGCCCUUCCGUGCUGGCAGCGGGGAGCAGCGUGUAACCUCUGGUGCUGGACCAGGCAGUGCCCUCCUGGGAGCACUUGGACACACUUGCCUCCUGCCUGCUGGUGACUCACACAGGAUGAAGGUGGACACAGAAGCACCGUUCCACAGCAGCGAGCUUGUUGGCAUCCUGUGAAUGCUGGCGAGGUCAAGAUUAGACUUGCAGGAAUGCUGCUGCUUUUAUGAUGUGCGCAAGAAACGCAGUCAGGCAGCAGAUGAACCCCUUCUGCCCUGGAUCCAUAAUCCAUUCUGCAGGAGGUGCAGUGGGGUCUUGGGACAAAACACCUCUGCUUCAUGGCUUUACUUCCCUGCUUUGACAUGGAUGGGGCAACGUUUCCAAUUCUGGGAAGGGGAACACACUUCUCCAUCACCAGAAUGGGCAUUCAAGGUCUGGGAUCGUUUUCCCGGUCACUUGCUCAUGGUCAGUGCUAAGUGAGGGUGUUGGAGGAAAGGAAACCGAGGCAGCGCAUUGCACUGACACAUUCUCCUUUCAUGCUACUAUUUUACACCAUGUGGAUUCAGGAUGCACUAGAAGCUGAAACAGCCACUUGAAAGGAAAUAUUUGGGGUCUGCAUGGCACCUGUAAGAGCAGAAGGUCCUGUACUCGGACAGGACAGAGAAGAGAGCAUGUUCCUGGGUGUGAUUUGCUAAAUGGCAGUGGUUGGAAAUAGCAAGAAACUUCUACACAGAGAGGAUUCUGCACUAAGGGGUUACUUGGACACACCACAGCCAGCUCUGUCUGACUCACACAGCAGAAGCCAAGUAGGGAAUUAAAACAGGACUUCCAACAGGGACAAAGCCUCCAGAAAAUGAAAGGAAAGUCUGCAAAGUCCCAGUUGCUUGCUCAGCUUUCCAAACAGAUCCAAAGGCUGAAGCAGAACCCCUGCUUUGCAAUCAUGGAUGUUCACACCGCAGUGGCACAGAGGACAUGCACUGUGCAGCUCAGCAUGCAGCGCUCCUGCUGGUUUCCCAGCGCUCAUCCCUUGUCCCACAUUCUGGCUUUGACUCUCCCCAGACUCUUUCCCAGGUGCUUUGAAACACAGGGCUGUUAGAAACCAGCUCUCUGCUUGUUCUUGCUGUCUGUGCAGUCAUAGACGUGCCAGCAGCUGCCUUGCCGAGCCCAACAAACUGGGCUGGGAAUUUCUUCCAAAGGCUGCACUGGCCAAGCUGCUCUGUAGAUCUGGCAGAUGCAGAACACGUUACAACAGGGGAUUUAUGGAACAAAAACAUUCCUGUGCUGCAGUCUUAAUUCUGAGAGCAACAACCAUCAUUGCUAAUUGCUCGUGGUAAAAGAGCAUUGACUGCCAGCUACUUGUAGGCAGGGGAUGGGUGCCAGCACCAUGCCUGAGCCAUAAAGGUGUGCAGGCAGAGCUUAGGGGCCAAACCCUCCCCAGGCACACAGCUUUCAUACGUGCAAUGUGUCAACAUGCUCCUGUGGGUCAGGAGAUCUGUUGGUUUUAGGGGAUUUUCAAGCUUGUCCUGCUGCAAGCUCCCAGAGACCGCAGCCCAGCCCCAGCAUACCUAGCAUAGCGUCUCGCAGCUCCUUGGUGAUGAUGGGGAGGUCAUCCACAUCCACAAAGUGCAGGUGCUUCUCAGGAGGCUGGCUGGCAGCAGCAGACAGCUCCAGGUAAUUCCCCCGCCCGGUGCUGACAAUGAAGACUGUCACCCCCAUGUCCUUCAGCAGCUGCAUGGGCUCAGAGAUGUCAUCGCUGGAGAACCCAUCCGUCACCCAAACCAGAACCUUGGGCACGUCUGGCCGGGCACCUGCAUCAUUGCUGAAGAGCUUCUCCUUGGCAAAGGAGAGUGCUUUGCCCGUGUUGGUGUCACCCAUGAGCUGCUGGGUGUUGCGGAUGGCUUGCUGCACCGUCCCACGGGACAGGUACCGGUCGAAGGGGAACUCCAUGGUGGGGGUCGUGCUGAUGUGGAUGAUGCUGGUCUGGACAUCGUUGGGGCCAAAGGUGAAAGGCCGCACGAGGUCCCACAUGAAUUCCUUGACCUUGGAGAAUUCAUAGUAGGAGACGCUGCCAGAGCUGUCCAGUAAGAAGAGGAUGUCUCCUUCUGAACUGGAAAUGGAGGGCUGAGGACCUAACAGGGGAAGAGAGAGGGAUGGGUAGAGAGAUGGUGUGCAAAUUAGGAAGAGCUGGUUGUCUUGGGCUCGAUCUCAGAAUGCAGUGAGAAGUUUGCUGGGGAGAGACUUCAGGAGGCACCCUUUUUAUUGUUGUUACUUACAGAGAGAGGGCUCCUGGGCUUUGUACUCAGCCCUGCUAUCAGCUGCUUGGGAGCUUCUCACCCCAUCACCCUGUGUUUGAUGGCUUUGCUUUAACCCUGUCUGAUCACAGCUGGGCUUUGCUGAACCCUCUGAGAUGCACUAAAGUCAGGGUAUGCCCAUGGCUGUUCACUACCAAUGUACACAACCAAAACAACUAUUGGGAACAGAAAACUGAAUCCUAAACCCUCUGGGAUCCAAAAACCUGCAUUGGGUUGGACACUCCAGGAGCUCUCCAGGAGCAGAGAGCGGCAUUCCCCCUUGCCUACAAACGGAAUUGCUUUACAGUCCUAUUUCAAGCUCAGGCUCAGGAGUCAGGGUAGAUCCAAAACCAAACCCACACGCCCUGGGUCCUUCUCUUGUUGCUGCUGAGAAAAUGCCUUGGAGCUGUCUCAGUUUGCACUGAUACCUCUUGUUAGCCAGCACCAGGCUGCUCCUGGGCACUUUGUGCUCUGAGCUGGAGGAGGACACCCUCCUGGUGCUGGAAGAUGGAUUUAGAAACCUUUUAGCCACCAUUCUGCUUUCUGGCAGCUUUUGAGAUGUGAAAAGGGAGAAAAAGCCACAGAGCAGCGGUCGGUGCCAGCCUGCUUGGGCUGCUCCAGCAGGGAAGGGGUGGGGAACGUGGGGUUGCCAAGCGAUGCAGGACCUGGGGCACUGAUGGGUUUGGUGCAGCACACAAUGGCUGAAUGCUGGAGCUGUGUGUGGGAGACGAAACCACAAGGCAGCAGACAGCUGAAUGGAAAGGCCUCUGUAAAAUUAAUUGCUUGGAGGAGAUGGAUCCUGCAAAGAGCUCUGCCCUUGCAGAAGGCACGCCAAGGCAGGCCCCGAGGCAGCUGGGAGGAGCAGGGUCACAUUGCCCCUCCUGGGGGCUGCUCCCAGAUGGAGGCACGAAUGGCAAACCCAGGGCAGGGGAUGAGUCAGGGGGUGCAACGCACCGAGUGUGUGUCCUCAGAGCAGCACCUGGCAUGGAUCAGACGUACAACAGGAACUCGAGAGCUGGCUCUGUCCCAUGGCAGGAGCAUCGGUGUCCACGUGUGAACAACACGCUGUGGUGAGCUCCUGUGCUGCUACAGAGAGCGGAGCCACCCAGGGCCGGACCCUUUGCCUCCCUGCUGCAUUACGUGCUGGCUGAGAGUGCAGAGCCAUACCAGACCCAUGACGAAACAACUGGAGAAACAGAACGACGUUGCUCGGAGGUGACUAAGCCAGAGAUGCCAGGAGGAGGCAGGAGCAGCUCACGUCCAGCUCUGUGUGACCCAGCACGACUCAGCCCUGUGCAGACACACACACCUGGCAACCUGGCACUCAGAGCUGAGCAGAAAACACAGCCACAGCCUGGCCAGCUUUCUGUUUGCCCGUGGUGACGUGCGACUCCGUCAGUACAUCACACAGCACAGCCAAACCCAUCACCUCCAGGUCCCUCGAGCUGCUGCUUCACCAAGGCAUGCAACACCGGUUCUGCUCUGAGCUCCUGGCUGCAUGGAGCUGCAGAUUCCUGCUCUCCCCUCCACUGGAAGGGCAUAAAGCCACUGACUGGGCUGCCAAGCUGUAGUGAGGGAUCUUGACAACACGGUGGCCUCUUCCCAGCAAAAAAUCAUUUGUUUUCAUUUCUCCCCUCUGCUCCCCGUUAUUUUGAGUGGUGGUGUUUGUUUCCUGAGUGUUGCAACAGGCAGCUGUGAAAGCUUCUGGUGCUGGCAAAGGACAUUGCUCCCCCGUGGCAAACGAGGUCAUGCAUGGAGGAACUGGGCGUGCAUCCCCAAGGAGCAGACAGCAAAACCCUGUCCUGCCAAAAUGAGCUCCCCAGGGAAACAGGGUGGCAAGCCGCAUGGAGCACUUGCUAAGGGAGGAGGAUGCUGAUGGAGAGCCAAGAGCCAAACCCUUGUAAUGCUGCUGGAGUGUGCCCUGCAGCUGUGGGCACAGAGAGGCGGGGGAACAUUAGCAUCCUGCGGACAUGGAAUUCACCCAUCACUGCUGGGAAUAGCUGCGUGGGUUAGGAAGCACUGCAGGAAGGGCUGCAGUUUGACACCACCACGUCCUGCCGGGGGGGCAGAAAGCACAGCCCAGCAGCCAAUGGUGACCGACAGCAAGUUGUGCUGGUGGGCAGUUUGGUAUUCCAGAGCUAUCUGAAGGGGUUGUGAUCCGUCAUAAUUCAGUUCCACCACUCAGCCCUGUGUAAGAUGGAAAUAAAGUCCUCUCUGUGAGACUUUUCUCCUAGAGAGGAUUCACAAAAACACCCUCACUGCAGUGAUGCUGAUAGUGGCUGGGCACACCACCAUCCUUCCCUUCAGGCUUUCCGUUCCUUCAUCUUUCUCGCUGUUCUUUGUCCUCCAUCCAACACAAACAUCUCCCCCAUGCCAGAAGUGGGGCUUUGGGGAUUUGUUACCAGCAAAUCCUUGCUUUACGCAAGCAGCUGCUGUUUUCAAACUAUUUCCUUGCUUUACAGCAAGAGAGGAUCGGCUGCUUGGCCGGAUGCCAAGCAGAGAUUUCUCACUUCUGUGGGGCUCUGGGAGAAGGGACGUCCCCAAAAUCUCCUGCGCCAUCAGCCCUGAGCACAGCCAGAGCCCGGGGAACAAGUGUUGGCAGCAUCCUGUUGUCACCCUCGGGCUGGUACUCGUGGAUAGGCAUGGAUCGGUCGUGCAAACAAGGGUUUAGAAGGGAUCAGUUGAAAGCGAAAUGUCACCGUGGAGUCCCAGCGCUGCUUAUUUACACACUUGGCUUUUCCAAGAGGAAAACAGCCAGGCGUGUGCGUCCUGCUCCGAGAUGCUGACAGGAGACAUCCGCUCCAAGAGUUCCCCUCAGCUGGGACCUGAACGCGUGCCACGUGCCUGAUUUACGUGGGCCUCAGCCCUCCUAGAGCAAGAAGGGUUCCACAGCCAGAAAGGAUUGUGUCCUGUCUUGGUUAACUACGCCUUAAAUUCUGCAUUUGUUUUCCCUUGUGCUGUUUGGCCACGCAAGGAAAAGUGUUCUGCUAGGAGUGGAGAUAAGCGUGGAGGGUGAGCAGCAUUGCCUGCCCCUUUCCUGGGGCUCUCCAUGCAGCCCCACAGCUCCCCAUCUUUGUCCCCUGAAGCUAAUGAAGCUAUCUCCUCUCACACCCAGCCAAGACCCCAGGAAGCGGAGUUAUGACCAUGCACCCUCAUGGCUCAAUCACUUUCCCUCACUGCGUGGUGAUGGCACACCACAAUGGCUCCAGACAGGAGCCCUGCCAGGCCGGCUGUUUGCUCAAGGUUGCUUUUGGGAGCGGCCGGAGGUGCCCACAUAAAAGCUGCCGGGGAGCAGGCGUGCUGCCCAUCAGCAGGUUCUCUUCCUCCAGUUUACAGUAUGCAAGCCUAAAGUAAGCUGUCAGUAGUGCAACAGCAUAACUGCCUCUGGAGCAUGGCAUGGGCAGGGACAGCAGCACGAUUCCUGAGCCAGCCAGCAUCUCCAGACCCUGCUCCACAGCUCGGGUCACUGGUGGGCUGAAUCCAUUCCCUGUAAUGGGAUCUGAGCAACAGCCACCGUCUGCUGUGCCCACUAGGAGCAGGAUCAUCCUGCCCAGGCACAACAGAACUUCAUGUCUCCUUUCACACGUCUCAGGUUCAAACUCCAGGGAAAAGCAGCUGCAGCCAGCGGCAGUCCCAGAGCUGCUCCUUCUUCUACUGGUGAGCACCAGGAUCCUCCCAGUAACCACACCAGCAGUCCCUGCCCAGCUAACCAGAGAGAGACACUCAUCCCUUCCAUGUCCCCCUUCCCGCUGUCGGCUCCAUGACACCAACCCGCAGGCGUUCUCCCCGAGCAGCAGCAAAGUGAAAGCAUUGUAAGGAGAAAACGUCAGGACUGAAUUACAGAGAUUAGGCAGAGGACAACGGAACAGGGGGAGUGACAGCCAGACAGGAUGAAAAGUAGCAGAGGAGGAAAGUUUAGAAGCCAUCAGGAUCUGAAACCAGUGAGCCAUAUUUCCCCCAAUUUGAUUUCGUCUCCCCUGGGAACUAUGAAGAAACGAAGAGGAAUUAUGAGCCAAGGAGCUGUGCAGACUGGAAAAAAAUCGUAUCCAAACUCAUCAAGCAAAUGGAAAGUCAGGACAGGCCCAAGAAAUCAGAUCCAACUGGGAAGCCCCGGAGGCAGCCAGCUAGUUAAACGUCAUGGACACUUGUUUGUGCUUCUCCUCCCAGCCCCACCUCAGGCAGACGGGCUGGGUUUGGUACCCAUCUGCAUCACGAAGGAACGUUGUAGUAUCAGGUUGUAUGAUACCCCAUACCCAUGUGUCAUGAACUUAGGGGCAUGACUCAGCCUUACCUACUGAUUCAUACGGGCUAGAAUAAGCUUCAUCCCAGGGAGACAGAAGAAUUUGAUACCCCUACUCUCAUCCUCCACCAUGUGGCCUGUGAGAUCAUAGGAUGGCCUGGGUUGGAAGGGACCUUAAAACCCAUUCUGUUCCCACCCCCUGCUGUGGGCAGGGUUGCCACCCAUUGGAAUAGACUGCGCAGGGCCCAUCCAGCCCGGCCUCGGGCACCUCCAGGGAUGGGGCACAUACACUGCUCUGGGCAUCCAUCCGGUGUGCAGUGCUCCAGUUGGGGCUUUGCAAGGGCACGUAAGCACUCUUGUCAAGUUUGUCCAGGUCAUUUUGGAGGGCAUAACUUCCUUCAUUAAAAAUGAAUGUCAGCCCUACAGCUCCUCUGCUAGAGCACCUGUGCCUCCUUGUGGGCAGCAGGGCCAGGUGCUGCAGAGCUGCAGGUGCUCCUGCACAAGAGCUGUCUGGCUGUGGCCUCUUUUGAGGUCCUUCCCUUCAGGGAAGGAUUGCACAAAGCAUGUCAUACCAAGAGCGGUGCUCCCAAAGUGCCUCAGCUUCUCCAGCUGUCUGGUCUGGAUCCUACCAUCACCAAGGCUCAAGGAACCUCUGGGCACCCCAUGCUAUCAGCUGUCUCUCUAAUUCUCAAAUCCACAUAGAUCCAUUACGCUGAUCCACAUUCAACUCGAUCGCUGAUGCUCAUGGAUGAGCAGUCAAACCCCCUUGACCGGGGCUGGUGGGAAUGUGGAGAUGAUUUCCUUGCAUUACUCACUUCCCAAGAACACUUCCCAUACAACAGUUGCUCAUAAUUCCCUUUUUUGUUUGUCACUUUUUCAAUGUCAAUGCCAUUCAGCCUCACACCCUGCAGCCUGGAGAGAUUUCAACUUUUAUUUCCUUUAGAGUCUUGCUAGGGUAGGAGGAAGCAGGAAGAAGCAGCCUGGAAAAUGAUUAGAUCUCACACAAUUUAACUUUAUUUUUAAACUUUACUGCAAAGGACAGAUCCUGUUUCCAGUAAGGCUGGUGCUUGCGCACGUUGACGCACUCUGUGUUCUGAAGCCAGCAGCAUCACCCUGCUUUGCUCCCAUAGAACUAUGGCCAGAACGGGGCUGCAGGGCUCAGCUUAUGGCCUUCAUCUGUCAUAACUCAACCAAAACAUACCAAUGGUGAUCACCUUCCUACCGUACCCAAGUGAUAAUCCAGCUCAGGAACAGUUAAGGCUUGUAAGAAAAAAAAAGAAGAAGAAAAGUACCACCAACCAAUCACUACAUUUUGAUUGUCCACUCUUCCUUGUCCCAUGGGUCGAUCCCAAAUUACAGGGCCUGAUUUGCACACACAGUGCCCGUGGGGAGUUUGGUGGUGGCUGCAGCUGCCGGGAUAGAUGCAAUAUCCUCUGAGGCAAAUCACAGCUGGAACAAACAGGCGGUUUGGAACACAGCCUUUCUUCAGCUCUACAUAAAAGCUUUUGUUUGGAGGGAGCUAUCUAUAUAUGGGAAUUUGGAAAUUCCCCAUUUGGAAAGGAAGCAAAGCAGCCCUGUAAGCAAUGGGAGAAGGAUGGGGCAGGAGCUCCCCUUGAGCCGCAGGUGGGCAGCAGCCAGGCUGGGCAGUGGGGGCUCAGACUGUGUCACAGUGGAGGUCUCAGCAGCUCCUGGCUGUGUUUGUGCAGGGUGUGAACUGGGAACUCUGCCGACCCCAGCAGUGCCACUGCAGCAGGAUUGGUCCCAGUGCUGGCAGGUCUCAGUUAACACUGUGUCGUGCCAUCUGCAGGUUCAAGUCAGCUCUUAUUUCUGUUAUGACUUUGGAGACAAACUACAAAAAUAGUUCACUCCCGGCACUCCCCAGCUGUAUUUAUCCUCAGAAGUUGCUCAAUGACCCCAACAGCUCUACAGCAAGACAAGAUCUGGCUGAUGCUUCAUCCCAAAGCAUCUUGAAGUAUAGAACUGCAGCCACUUCUGGGGUGAAGCACGGCACGUUUUCAACCACAUGCAGCAGCAUUACAGCAAAACUUCGGAGAUGGAAGAAAGUCACAGAAGGGUUUUAUGCUAAGAGAACGCCGCUGCUCACGUUGGAGCCAUUGGAAAGGCCUCCUCCCAUCACAAGCACCUCAGAAGUGGCUGUGGACCCUCUUCAGAGCCAGGCAGCACCCAGAAGGAAGGAAACGCCGUGUGAACCCCGCUGCUGUUUCCCUCCAGCACCGUGUCACACCAGGACACAGUGUCCUAGUUUUCUGUUUCAGCCGCUUAUGUGGAAUGAAGGAAUUUGUGGAACGAGCACACAGGUAGACGCAGGCAUGUCACAUGGCUCACGCAGAGAGGGACAAUGUUCUCUGAGCAAUUUUCUGCUCAUGCCAGGGAUCUGAGCCCCUCUGGCUCCUGCAUGCCAUGCGGUGCCCUCCUCGGGCUGUGUGAGGCCCGGACAAGGCAUGCUUGGAUGGUUUGGAAGGAGUCAGCUUGUCACAAAGUGCCAGCCCUCAGCUGGAUCCCAGGCACCAAAGUGACUGCACUGAACCUGUGGGUCAUCGCAGUGAACUAAAAACCAGAACAAAAGGAGGCACUAAUUGAUGCCUUUACCCUGAGAAGGACGGGAAGUUAGGCCAAAUGGAGAGGGGAGUGCUGUGCUGAGCAGUGGCCAAAGCCGCAGCCAAGCUCAGGGUGCCUCUGUUGGGAUAGAUCUCAAUGCACCCCGUCCCUUCCCACUUUUCUAAGGGCAUUUCCAUCUGGAAUUUGUUUCUGCAAUACUUCAGGCAGACAUAGCAUCCUGCUAGCUCCUUGCAGUGCCUCUUAGGAAGCAGGGCACCCAGUGACUGAGGAGGGAUGCGUUGGUUUGAGUCAUACACAGCAUUUCAGAUGCAGAGACAGCAAUUCUGGGCCUUUUCACUUGUAAAGGGCAACUUCUGUUGCUUUCCAAUGAGAUGACAGAGGCUGACAACACUGGAAUGUAUGAACAACCCACUGAAUGACAUCUGGCUGAUGAGGACGGCUUGGCUGACAGCAGGCUCCAUGGUAGGGGGGGGAUCUGACCCCAACCAGUAAGUGAGCACCCACCAGCAGCAAGGAACCCACAGGUCAGAGCACAGAUGCUUUGGGAGUGAAGGAAAGCCACACGCACAAGCAAAGCACAACAAGGAGUUCAUUCACUGCUUCCAUUAGAAGACAGAUGUUUGGCCACUUCUUGGAAAUUGGGGCCUCGUGCAACACAUGCAAAGGUUACUUGGGAAGAGAAAUGUCACAACCCUCUUGCCUGUCCUUUCCCUGAGCACAUCACAGUAAGGGGACCUUGAUGCCAGCAUGCGGCUGCCUUACCAGUGCUGUUUUAGUCACAAAUUACAGCACCAGCUCCAGCCAACCGGGGCACACCACGGGAUCUCCAAGUCCAUGAGGAGCCCAUGUAGGGAACAGAGGUGAUGGGAGAUGGCUCCUCUGUACCCUUCUCCUUGCAGCUGUUCUGUGGGACCCGACCCUGUGCAGCAGCCUGGCUCUCAGAGCUGCAGCUGGGCCAGCUUUGUUUACGAGCUCACAGAAUGACACGGAGUUCAACCAACUCCUUGCUUUCGCCUCGCCUCUGCGAUCUGCAGUGCUUUAUAUGCGUAGGAACAAGUGAGCUCAUUUGCAGAGUUCCAGGAGCGGGUCAAAGAGCAACCUGAUACAGAGGUGGAAAAUAAGCAGGAGGGCUGGCUGCCAGCAGCGUAGUGCAGAGCUGAAGCUCUUGGGCCUGACCUGAGUGUGCCAGCCUGCUCACCAUCUGAAUUUAGGGCACCUCUGAUCCAGCCGUUUCACCUUUUCCUUUUUAGGAGAAGUUCUACACAUCAUCUGUCCGACAGCUCACAGCUGUGGGGCAGCUGCCUCACAGACCCAUGGCAGUGAAGGGGUAAAAUAAGAAAAACAGCAACCCCCCCCCCCCUCCAAAAAAAAAACAAACCCCAAAAAAAACAGAAACAGAAGUGCCUCAUUGCUCGUUAAGAGGCUUCUGGAUUCCUCUUGUAAUGUAGGUCAUGGAUAGGCAGCACCUCUGUCUCUCCCAGUUACAGAAGAGGCCCUACUGCUGCAUGCAGCAGGCUGAGCAAAUGGCUGCUGGGUUAUUGUGGCAAUUCUUCAUCCUUUAUGUAGUGCGUCCUCAUCCUCCCCCCAUGCCAGAGGUGCCAGGGCUGUCCACGUGUGUCAGCUUCCCUGCCGAGGAGGAGCCGGCAGCAGAGAGCUCACUGCUUCACUGCUCCAGUCCUGUGCUUUACAGCCACAACAUCAAUAUAAGGAGAGGAAGAUGCGGAUGUGCAACAACUGGAGUCUGAGACUGUACAAGAGCCACGUUCCCCAUCCUUGGCUUCCAACCACGAGGUUGUAUGAGAGCACGGCAAGAUCGAUGGAACAGCACACAGCACUCGUGCCUGGUUGCACAGGCUCUACUUUGCAUGUGGAGUCAUCUGGGGGUCCCCAGCAGAGAUCCUCCAACACUUCAGAUUCCUGCCUCAUUUCCUCAUACAUUUUUCACUGCAAUUUCCCCAGCUGGACCCAGACUGGGGUCUCAUUUUGCAUUCCUGGAGCCAGAGAAGCUCUGAAACUUGGAGCCACCUUUAAGUAGUACAGAUGAGGAAAGCCUGGACAAUUUGGAAAAAGACAACUUUGAGAGAACCUCCUUAGAACUCUGUUUCCUGAGGAAUUCCCAGCUACACAAUAAGCCAUGACUUACAGAUCAUCCAGGUCUUGGCCUCUCUCAACAAUCGUAGCCUCUUGACCUGUCCGCCCAGGGGAGAGAAGAUGACCUGGAGCAAUCUGCACACACAUACAAGAGCAGUAUGCAGUCCGGAGAUCAGCCUGCACACCAUGAGAUGCACACUUGGCUAUCAUCCUGGGCCCGGGCUCCUGGUUUGACAGAUGGGGGAAGCCGUCCAAGACAUUGAUGAACGGGCCUCCAAGCACCCAUCAAGCUGCAUUCAGUCACAACAGGAAGGGGAAGCGGCUCGUGGUUGUGAGUUCCUACCAGGAGGGACAGCCUGGCCCCCGCCUCACGCACAGCUGCAGGAGCGCCGGCCAAGCUGCACUCCCUGCUCCCAGCCUGGAAUUCGGAGGAUAUCAAGGCCAGUUUCCCAUCAGACCCCAUGCCAGGUGGCAGUCAGACCCUCUCUAGCCCAAGCUCUGCCAGCAGUCUUCUGGUGGGGGCAGAAAACAAAGGUACCGUUCAGAUUAUGCCAGUAGCCUUUGAGACACGAGAAGAUUGGUUUUAAUGUAGGUGUUACCCAAAAACUGGUGUGCUGUGGUUCAAUGGGCUCAACACGUGUGUGGCUACAGCAGAGGAGCACAACUGGACCCGUCUAGCACAGGGACUUGCAGAGUCCCACUGUGGAGGGCAUUUCUCCACUUCAGCUGAACUUCGGCUCCAGGGCUUGGAACAAGGCUGCCUCUACAAGAAGCAUUGCAGAGGGCUCAUUACUGCUCAUCUGCAGCUUUUCAGCCCUUCUCAGCAAGGGGACAAAGCCAUAUGAGCAGGAGCAAGGCUCCAAGGACAAAACAAUCAUCCUUUUUGUGUAAGCCUAGCAAAGCAGCUGGGGAGCGAGUGGGAGGAGAGGGAACAACUCCUGCCCAGUCUGCAGGGCUCCUCCAGCAACACUGGGAGCUUCUUCACCCAGCACAUGGCUGGAUCUGAUGCCAUGCAGCAGCAAUGCGUGAGUGGCCUGUAGAAGUCCUGUUAUUCAGUCUGAACUUGUCGAUGGCGAAAGCCAGCGCGAGAUUGAAAGGGGAGAACAAGUUUGGAGUGAUGAGAGGGGAAGGGGAAAAAGGAGUUCCAUCCAUCAGCAGGUUGCUAUUUACAAUGGAAAGAAGAGGUAGGACAUGGGGGCUAGGUUGGAAAUCCUGUUUCAUAAACAAGACUAUCCAGGAUAAAGCCUGUCCAGGAAACAUGCCUGAGGGACACAGGGGGCUCAGCUGGAAGCUCUACGGCUGACAGCCAUCCUCCCAUCAUGAGCCCUGCCAGCCUUGUACUCCUCCCACAUCAGGCUGGGGAAAUAGUUGCAAUUCCAGCAGCCCAUAAAGAAAGAGGUGACUUGACGCAUGCAAAGCAAGCAGAACAAUUCCCGUCUAUUUUGGGGAUAAGAGGCUGUUGUUCUACAGCUGAGUGCCAUACUGUCUGACCCAUGGACGAAAGAGCAAAUGCUUUCCCUGCAGACCACUGGUGCUACCGAGCUGGGAUGUCCUGUUUGUUCUCCACCCUUCCUUGGAGGCACGGGCUCCCAGCAGCAGCCUCUCUGUGUACAAAGCCAGGCUGGAUGCCUCCCUGCAGCCAUUCUGAGAAGGCUGGUCCCAAGCUGGAACCCAGAGGAGCAUCUCGUCUGCAGGAAGGCACAUGGCUCACGUUGGUAUGAGCAUAAGAUUGUGCAAGGGAGAGCGUGGCUGCUGGCAUCCCAGCCCUGCUGCUGCACAUGGGCAGCUGCAUAGCCCUGUGUCAGCAUUCCCGGUAGGACAGGGCAGGGACAGAAGGGAUGGCAUGCAAUUCCCCCCACAAGAGUUACGAAAACAAGCCUUCUUCAGCACUUAUUCACUCCAGACCCGACUUCAUCCACAUCCAUCCACGCUGACUGCCAAAUUUCCUGAAGCCUACAUUGUGCACCCCAGCAGAGAUGGGACUGGGGCCAGGACCCCAGCACAUGAAGGUACAGCUUGAGCUUUCCUUGCAAGCUGUCCGUGCAGCAUACUGCACAACCCCUCCAAACAUCUGGCACAUCGGUAUGGGCAGCUCCCCACUGCUGAACGGGAUAUUUUGGGAUCUAGGUCAGGGGAAUUAUUUCCAGCACUUGCAGCUGGAAACGGACCCAGAAAAAUGUGAAAACAAACUUGGUUGGAGGCAGUUUGGUAGCCAUCUGCAAUGCUCUGUCACUGUCUUCUUCACAAUGGGAAGAGAAAUGAAUUGUUUUCAGACCUGUUGAUCGCAUGGCUUUGCUUGCACUCAUUAAUUACUCUUGUAGGUAUGGGUGGCAUUAAGAAGCUAUAUUCCAUCAACCUUGAUGUCACAGCAUUAGUCAUGGCAGUUGGCAGUUCUACCUCCCUUCCGCCCCAUACUAUUUCCAAUGCCUAAUAGAAGCUCUCCUUAACCCCUGAAGAACUGCUGGGAAAUGCUUUGCAAACCCCCCACAUCCCACAGUGCAGCACAAGCAAAGGAGCAGCACUCAGAGCUCCAUGCAAGUCCAGCUGCCCUUCCUGGCCAUGCAACCCUCUGCAAGCUCAGCUUAGCUCUGCCAGUAAUGUAUUUACACUGCUGGCACGUUCUAGUUUAGAUCUUUCACCGUGGUAGCAUUACCCAGCUCUGGGCACACCCUUUAGCUCUACAGUUAGAUCUUGCAUGCCAUACAUUUUAACAGCAAGUGACCCAAAACUCUGCCACCACAUGCAUUGGAUGUCCCCUACAAUGUGUGGUUGGGGCAUGGAACGCAGGUGAUGGGGAACUUGCAAAGUGCUGCAGCUAUUUUGCACCAAUUUGCUUUGAAAUAAGCAUGCUUGGUCGUCUCCCUGACUCCUUCAGCCUUUUCAAACAAACACACCUCCUCUUCUACGCCAUCAUCUGCCCAAGGGUCAGUCUUCCUCACAGGGUGUCUCACCCCCAUUUGUCCCAGCAGGUGCGUGAAGCAGCACCAAAUAGCUCCAAGUAAUGCAUUAAUGCUGAGCUCUGGAUGUGAGCCUGCUCAUCUUGCUUCCCACCAGGAGAGGAAAGAGGAAUCAAAGAGGAACCAAAGAGGCAUUGCUCAGACUGGGGAGGAGCUGAAGCCCACUGCAGGGUUUUCAAACAGGUUAUCCUUGUGGAAAUCUGCCACUCUGUAAGCACUCGUAACUCAAAUCCCGGUUGCUAGCGACAACACAAAACUUUGCCAUUCCAGCUGUUGCUCUCCUUCCCAACCGCAGCACUGAGCUGAAAAAGCAGUGAGGCAAUACUCACCAUCUCCACAGCCAUUUUCCAGCCCCAGUGCUUGAAAAAUGAGGACAGCUGAAGCUGUCCAUUGAAAAACGGGAUCGGGGCUGAACGAAGGGCAGGAGCCAUCACCCCAGGCAGAGCCAGCUGUGGCCUCAGGUGCUGUUGCUGUGCUGCAAGUGGGGCUGCUGCAGGCACGUGGUUGCCCCAGUCGCACACCUUGUUGUGUGCCCGUUGUGCAGACCCUGCCCAGUGAGUGUUCUCAUGCGCAGGGCUCCUUCUGCAUCCAUGCUGCCUCCAGGCACCUGCCAGGGGUAUUGCUGCUCUGCUGCUUUCCCUUUGGAAGGCGCUCAGAGCAUCCCUGCAGGGCAGCUGCCUCCUCUCUCCUCCCUGUGUGAGCUUCUCAGAGAUGGAGAUGGUGCACGGAACACGGAGAGUGAUGCUACACGUGAUAAUGCAUGCUGGAGAACCCAGCAAAACUGUUAUCUUUUUCCCCACCAUGUUACAGCUCUCAUCCUAACUGGAAUCAAACCUUUUCCAGGGUUUUAGAUCAUAAAGCACUUAGCUUUGGCAGGAAGCAAAGCAGCAGGCUGGAUGGACUGCUUCCCUGUAACCUGAACUGAAAACCUCAGUGGGCUGUGAUCAGCGGGUCUCCUCUUCAUGCUCCUAUGAAUUUUCAGACCUCAAAGCAUCUGUAGCCCAGCUGAGACCAGAAAGCAAACGCAGAAAUGCGAAGCUCCGUGCAGGAGAUAAGGAUGCUCACGCAGGAGAUACGGUGCUGCGAGUGGAAGAAUUGUUUACUUCUCAGUGGCAGCAGACAGAGCUUUGGGGGUGAGCCAGGAAGGCCACGGAAAGGGAUCCAGAGGGCUGAAAAGAGAUUUCUGCACGGAAGGGCUGGAAGCCAGCAUGGGGCCAAGGUAACCACAGCGAAAAUAGAAACCAAAAGGCCAUUAAAGCUGAACAAAGUAAAAGACGCAAGGUAGCAGAAAGUCAGAGCAGCAAAGGAGGCAGGUGGAUCAGCCAUCAGAGGAGGCUCUGCAGCUGUCCCCAUAAUGCAGGCAGACCCCAGCCCUACAUCCCAACCGGUGCCGAAGCAGCCUGGGUGCGUGAGCAGCCGGAACGCAGCACAGAUUUGUGGCCUUCGGCAGCAAGAGGAUGAGAACUCGCAGUUAUACCGUGCCCGUAGCUACCUGCCAUAAAUCUGGCACAAAGCAGCUGUCGCCAGUGAUUCAUGCUGGGGAUAUAUCCAGCUCAAGGUAAGCUGCCUGCUUGGCACCGACUGUCAGCACCUUCAGCUUUUUUUCUGGGUAUUUUUUUUUA